Molecule: long non-coding RNA, 1096 nt
Filed under: Piliocolobus tephrosceles (Ugandan red Colobus)
Lineage: Eukaryota; Metazoa; Chordata; Mammalia; Primates; Cercopithecidae
Description: lncRNA (ENSPTEG00000002974.1)
Source: RNAcentral
UGCAGAAGAAGCUUUUAAAAAAGUUUCAAAAGCAUUCCAACACUUAAUAGAUAAAGAUAAAAGAUAUGAAUAUGAUAACUAUUCUGAUUUAAAUACGCAUAAUAAUAUUAGUAAUAAUGCUUCUCGUGCUUUUAGAACUACUCAUUAUUAUUAUAAUGAUGAUGCAUUCACUGCAGAAGAUAUUUUUCGUAAUUUUUUUGGUAUCAAUUUUGCUACAUGUAAUAAUAGGGCAUAUAGAACUCAUGUUAAUACUAAUAGGACUCAUACAAAUAAUAGCACAAGUGCUAAUACGAGUAAUAAUAAUCAGCGCAACUAUUCAUUGAUACAAUUGUUUUUGUUUUUAAUUAUGUUUAUAGUAUUCUUUUUAUCAAGUCAUUUUGAGCAACCCAAGGUAAAAAUAAAAUAAGCAAUACAAUACAAUACAAUACAGCAUAAAAACAUAUAUACAUUAACAUGUGUAGUUAUGCAAGUUCAAAAGUAUGUGAUCCUAAUUGUGUAUAGCUUAAGCAUUUUUUUUUUUUUUUUUUUUUUUUAUUUAUAUAAAAUAUAUGCUUCAAAAAAAAUAAAAAAAUAAUAUAAGAUGUAACAUAUCCAUCAAACUGACCCAACAAAUUAGGAAUAUGACUUAUUGUUUUAUUUAUUAUUUUUUUUUAUAUACAUAUUUUUUUCUUUUUUCUUUUUUAAUAGGCCAUAUACUCUUUGCAGAAAACAAAUUAUUAUGAUACAUUAAAUUAUACCUCAUUAAACAAAAUAAGAUUUUACACAAAGAGAUCUUUUAAUUAUAAUUAUCCCAAAAACACUCAAAUGCGUUAUCAAAUUGAGUACGAAGUAGAAUACAAAUACUAUGAACAUGAGUGUCAUGUUCUAACCAAGAAAUUAAAAAAUGACUAUUACAAAGAAAAACGUGAAUAUCAACAAAAAUUAAAUUAUCAAGAAAUUCCAGAAAGCUGCAUAAAACUGAAAAAUUUAGAGGAUCAAUACAACGACUACAUUAUGAAAAUGAAAAGAAGAUAACAAAAAAAAAAAAAAAAAAAUGCAUUCAUUUGAUAAAUUAAUUUUUAAAAAUUAAAAUAAACUGUUUGAAAAAAAAUGUACA